RNAcentral lists this ribosomal RNA (484 nucleotides) under uncultured bacterium. RNAcentral describes it as "bacterial SSU rRNA". It matches the Rfam family "Bacterial small subunit ribosomal RNA", at positions 33 to 507 of the family's 1533-position model. The record is from RNAcentral.
GACGACGCUGGCGGCGUGCUUAAUACAUGCAAGUCGAGCGAGGUUACUGUUUGGAUCCCUUCGGGGUGAAGAAGCUUUAACCUAGCGGCGGACGGGUGAGUAACGCGUGGGUAACCUACCCCAAAGUCCGGGAUAACAGCGGGAAACCGCUGCUAAUACCGGAUGCCUUUACCUUGGGGCAUCUUGAGGUAAAGAAAGGUAACGCUUUGGGAUGGGCCCGCGUCCCAUUAGCUAGUUGGUGAGGUAACGGCUCACCAAGGCGACGAUGGGUAGCCGGCCUGAGAGGGUGGACGGCCACACUGGGACUGAGACACGGCCCAGACUCCUACGGGAGGCAGCAGUAGGGAAUAUUGCGCAAUGGACGGAAGUCUGACGCAGCGACGCCGCGUGAGCGAUGAAGGUCUUCGGAUCGUAAAGCUCUGUCCUUGGGGAAGAAGGCGAAAGCUUGACGGUACCCAAGAAGAAAGCCCCGGCUAACUACGUG